Molecule: ribosomal RNA, 650 nt
Filed under: uncultured bacterium
Lineage: Bacteria
Description: bacterial SSU rRNA
Rfam family: Bacterial small subunit ribosomal RNA
Source: RNAcentral
GCAGUCGAACGGUAACAGGCCGCAAGGUGCUGACGAGUGGCGAACGGGUGAGUAAUGCAUCGGAACGUGCCCAGUCGUGGGGGAUAACGCAGCGAAAGCUGCGCUAAUACCGCAUACGAUCUAUGGAUGAAAGCGGGGGACCAUAAGGCCUCGCGCGAUUGGAGCGGCCGAUGUCAGAUUAGGUAGUUGGUGGGGUAAAGGCUCACCAAGCCAACGAUCUGUAGCUGGUCUGAGAGGACGACCAGCCACACUGGGACUGAGACACGGCCCAGACUCCUACGGGAGGCAGCAGUGGGGAAUUUUGGACAAUGGGCGCAAGCCUGAUCCAGCAAUGCCGCGUGCAGGAAGAAGGCCUUCGGGUUGUAAACUGCUUUUGUACGGAACGAAACGGUCUGGGUUAAUACCUCGGGCUAAUGACGGUACCGUAAGAAUAAGCACCGGCUAACUACGUGCCAGCAGCCGCGGUAAUACGUAGGGUGCAAGCGUUAAUCGGAAUUACUGGGCGUAAAGCGUGCGCAGGCGGUUUUGUAAGACAGGCGUGAAAUCCCCGGGCUCAACCUGGGAAUGGCGCUUGUGACUGCAAGGCUGGAGUGCGGCAGAGGGGGAUGGAAUUCCGCGUGUAGCAGUGAAAUGCGUAGAUAUGCGGAGGA